This 429-nucleotide ribosomal RNA is filed under the name Bacteroidota bacterium. RNAcentral's name for it is "Bacteroidetes bacterium partial 16S ribosomal RNA". It matches the Rfam family "Bacterial small subunit ribosomal RNA", at positions 355 to 776 of the family's 1533-position model. The record is from RNAcentral. Lineage: Bacteria; Pseudomonadati; Bacteroidota.
UAGGGAAUCUUCCGCAAUGGACGCAAGUCUGACGGAGCAACGCCGCGUGAGUGAAGAAGGAUUUCGGUUCGUAAAACUCUGUUGUUAGAGAAGAACAGCGCAUAGAGUAACUGUUAUGCGUGUGACGGUAUCUAACCAGAAAGCCACGGCUAACUACGUGCCAGCAGCCGCGGUAAUACGUAGGUGGCAAGCGUUGUCCGGAUUUAUUGGGCGUAAAGCGAGCGCAGGCGGUCAAUUAAGUCUGAUGUGAAAGCCCCCGGCUCAACCGGGGAGGGUCAUUGGAAACUGGUUGACUUGAGUGCAGAAGAGGAGAGUGGAAUUCCAUGUGUAACGGUGAAAUGCGUAGAUAUAUGGAGGAACACCAGUGGCGAAGGCGACUCUCUGGUCUGUAACUGACGCUGAGGCUCGAAAGCGUGGGUAGCAAACAGG